Molecule: ribosomal RNA, 1044 nt
Filed under: Triticum aestivum (bread wheat)
Lineage: Eukaryota; Viridiplantae; Streptophyta; Magnoliopsida; Poales; Poaceae
Description: partial small subunit ribosomal RNA
Source: RNAcentral
AUGGCGGCCGCUCCUGUCACGGUGGUGCCGCGCGUGAAGCUGGGCUCUCAGGGGAUGGAGGUCUCGGCGCAGGGCCUCGGCUGCAUGGGUAUGUCCGCCUUCUACGGCCCGCCCAAGCCCGAGCCCGACAUGGUCGCGCUCAUCCACCACGCCGUCGCCGCCGGCGUCACCCUUCUCGACUCCUCCGACAUCUACGGGCCGCACACCAACGAGAUCCUCCUCAGCAAGGCGCUGCUAGGGGGCGUGAGGGAGAGGGUAGAGCUGGCCACCAAGUUCGGCAUCUCGUUCGCGGACGGCAAGCGGGAGGUUCGCGGGGAUCCGGCCUACGUGCGGGCGGCGUGCGAGGGCAGCCUCAAGCGGCUCGGCGUCAGCUGCAUUGACCUUUACUACCAGCACCGCGUCGACACCAGGGUGCCUAUCGAGGUCACGGUUGGAGAACUCAAGAAGCUUGUCGAAGAAGGAAAAAUAAAAUACAUCGGAUUAUCUGAAGCAUCCGCAUCAACAAUCAGGAGGGCUCAUGCUGUUCAUCCUAUCACUGCAGUUCAGAUGGAAUGGUCACUGUGGUCUAGAGAUGUCGAAGAAGACAUAAUUCCAACUUGCAGAGAACUUGGAAUUGGAAUUGUUGCUUACAGCCCACUUGGUAGAGGAUUCUUCUCUAAAGGAGCAAAAUUGGUUGACUCACUAUCAGACCAGGACUUCCGCAAGAAUUUACCUAGAUUUCAACCAGAGAGUCUCGAGAAGAAUGCCCAGAUAUUUGAGCGUGUUGACGCGAUGGCGACAAGAAAAGGAUGCACACCAUCACAACUUGCCUUGGCUUGGGUUCACCACCAGGGUAGCGAUGUCUGCCCCAUACCUGGCACAACAAAAAUCGAUAAUUUCAACCAAAAUGUGGGAGCAUUAGCUGUGAAGCUCACACCAGAGGAAAUGGCUGAACUCGAAUCUUACGCGGCUGCAGGUGAUGUUCAGGGUGACAGGUACCCUCCAAUGGCUAGUACUUGGAAGGAGUCUGAGACCCCUCCAUUGUCAUCUUGGAAAGCUGAGUAG